UACGUAGGGUGCGAGCGUUAAUCGGAAUUACUGGGCGUAAAGCGUGCGCAGGCGGUUCGUUGUGUCGGCGGUGAAAGCCCCGGGCUUAACCUGGGAAUGGCCGUCGAAACUGGCGAACUGGAGUGUGGCAGAGGGGGGUGGAAUUCCGCGUGUAGCAGUGAAAUGCGUAGAGAUGCGGAGGAACACCGAUGGCGAAGGCAGCCCCCUGGGCUGACACUGACGCUCAGGCACGAAAGCUAGGGGAGCAAACAGG
Molecule: ribosomal RNA, 253 nt
Filed under: uncultured bacterium
Lineage: Bacteria
Description: partial 16S ribosomal RNA
Rfam family: Bacterial small subunit ribosomal RNA
Source: RNAcentral